AAAACUAUUUACAAGAAGAGAGCAUAUGAUAAUUGCACAUUUACCAAGAAUUCACCAAGGAAAUUAGAUGAAAUUAGAGUAUUCUCUCACAAGUUAGAGCUUGACAAAAAGAAGUUGGUAGCACCAAGAAGGCAUUGCUGUGAUAUAUUAACUUCUACAUCUGAUCAAGUGAUGGAAAUAGGGAUAAGAGAAUGCAAAGAAGAUGAACUUAUUUACAUGCAUAAUUAGAGAUGAAAUUAUUAUUUUUCUUUGCUUGUGACAUAAUUUAGAUAAAAAAGAUCCAG
Molecule: unclassified non-coding RNA, 284 nt
Filed under: Hevea brasiliensis (rubber tree)
Lineage: Eukaryota; Viridiplantae; Streptophyta; Magnoliopsida; Malpighiales; Euphorbiaceae
Source: RNAcentral